This 465-nucleotide ribosomal RNA is filed under the name uncultured bacterium. RNAcentral describes it as "partial 16S ribosomal RNA". It matches the Rfam family "Bacterial small subunit ribosomal RNA", at positions 28 to 507 of the family's 1533-position model. The record is from RNAcentral.
GAUGAACGCUGGCGGCGUGCUUAACACAUGCAAGUCGAACGGAAAGGCUCCUGCUUGCAGGGGUACUCGAGUGGCGAACGGGUGAGUAACACGUGGGUGAUCUGCCCUGCACUUCGGGAUAAGCCUGGGAAACUGGGUCUAAUACCGGAUAGGACGAUGGUUUGGAUGCCAUUGUGGAAAGUUUUUCGGUGUGGGAUGAGCUCGCGGCCUAUCAGCUUGUUGGUGGGGUAAUGGCCUACCAAGGCGUCGACGGGUAGCCGGCCUGAGAGGGUGUACGGCCAAAUGGGGACGGAGAUGCGGCCGAGACUCCAAGGGGAGGCGGGGGGGGGGAAUAUAGCACAGGGGGCGCAGGCCUAGGGCGGCGACGCCGGGGGGGGGAUGCCGGCCUGGGGUUUGUAACCUCCUUCCGCGGGGAACGAGGCGAAAGUGAGGGUACCGGGAGAAGAAGCCCCGGCUAACUACGGG